AUGCGCGAGUCAGGAGAGAGUUCCCGCGCUCGCGAGCCCGGGAGCCGCCGAAGGCGCAGUGGCAUCCCCCCGUAGCGGUCAAUCCCAUCGGGACCGUGCUGCGAACGCUCAGGCAAAAGGACUGGCAAGACGUU
This 134-nucleotide non-coding RNA is filed under the name Roseateles depolymerans. RNAcentral describes it as "Glycine sequence". It matches the Rfam family "Glycine riboswitch aptamer". From Rfam's summary of the family: This family represents the bacterial glycine riboswitch. Glycine riboswitches usually consist of two metabolite-binding aptamers domains with similar structures in tandem. The record is from Rfam by way of RNAcentral. Lineage: Bacteria; Pseudomonadati; Pseudomonadota; Betaproteobacteria; Burkholderiales; Sphaerotilaceae.